RNAcentral lists this non-coding RNA (30 nucleotides) under Mus musculus (house mouse). RNAcentral also lists the same sequence under 1 other name. The record is from RNAcentral. Lineage: Eukaryota; Metazoa; Chordata; Mammalia; Rodentia; Muridae.
UGAGAUAGUUUGUUGCCAAUGACAACAUCU